CCAAUAGCGUAUAUUAAAGUUGUUGCAGUUAAAAAGCUCGUAGUUGAAUUUCGGGAUUGACACAUCGGUCGUGCCUUACGGGGUAUGAACUGUUGUAGUCAAUUUCUCACCUUCUGGAGAACCGCGAUGCCCUUAAUUGGGUGUCACGGGGAACCAGGACCUUUACUUUGAAAAAAUUAGAGUGUUUAAAGCAGGCAUUUUGCUUGAAUACAUUAGCAUGGAAUAAUAAAAUAGGACGGCAUGAUUCUAUUUUGUUGGUUUCUAGGAUCACCGUAAUGAUUAAUAGGGAUAGUUGGGGGCAUUAGUAUUCAAUUGUCAGAGGUGAAAUUCUUGGAUUUAUUGAAGACUAACUACUGCGAAAGCAUUUGCCAAGGAUGUUUUCAUUAACCAAGAACGAAAGUUAGGGGAUCGAAGACGAUCAGAUACCGUCGUAGUCUUAACCAUAAACUAUGCCGACUAGGAAUCAGACGAUGUUAAUUUUUUAAUGACUCGUUUGGCACCUUACG
This 506-nucleotide ribosomal RNA is filed under the name uncultured Glomeromycotina. RNAcentral describes it as "partial small subunit ribosomal RNA". It matches the Rfam family "Eukaryotic small subunit ribosomal RNA", at positions 591 to 1092 of the family's 1831-position model. Lineage: Eukaryota; Fungi; Glomeromycota. The record is from RNAcentral.